UGGGGAAUUUUGCACAAUGGGGGAAACCCUGAUGCAGCGACGCCGCGUGAUUUAGAAGGCCUUCGGGUUGUAAAAAUCUUUUCUAUGGGAAGAAAAUGACAGUACCAUAGGAAUAAGGACCGGCUAAUUACGUGCCAGCAGCCGCGGUAAUACGUAAGGUCCGAGCGUUGUCCGGAAUCAUUGGGCGUAAAGGGUACGUAGGCGGGUAAGCAAGUUAGAAGUGAAAUCCUAUAGCUCAACUAUAGUAAGCUUUUAAAACUGCUCAUCUUGAGGUAUGGAAGGGAAAGUGGAAUUCCUAGUGUAGCGGUGAAAUGCGCAGAUAUUAGGAGGAAUACCGGUGGCGACGGCGACUUUCUGGCCAUAACCUGACGCUGAGGUACGAAAGCGUGGGUAGCAAACAGG
Molecule: ribosomal RNA, 402 nt
Filed under: bacterium
Lineage: Bacteria
Description: partial 16S ribosomal RNA
Rfam family: Bacterial small subunit ribosomal RNA
Source: RNAcentral